GGUCUGGCUGGCCGGUCCGCCUCACCGCGUGUACUGGUCCGGCCGGGCCUUUCCUUCUGGAGAGCCCCAUGCCCUUCACUGGGUGUGCGGGGGAACCAGGACUUUUACUUUGAAAAAAUUAGAGUGUUCAAAGCAGGCCUUUGCUCGAAUACGUUAGCAUGGAAUAAUAGAAUAGGACGU
This 180-nucleotide ribosomal RNA is filed under the name uncultured Glomeromycotina. RNAcentral's name for it is "partial small subunit ribosomal RNA". The stretch from base 91 to 180 matches the Rfam family "Eukaryotic small subunit ribosomal RNA", at positions 738 to 830 of the family's 1831-position model. Lineage: Eukaryota; Fungi; Glomeromycota. The record is from RNAcentral.